RNAcentral lists this long non-coding RNA (919 nucleotides) under Vitis vinifera (wine grape). Its description in RNAcentral is "long non-coding RNA (VVIN_LNC004321)". The record is from RNAcentral. Lineage: Eukaryota; Viridiplantae; Streptophyta; Magnoliopsida; Vitales; Vitaceae.
CCAUUUCCUUCUCCAUGUCGAAAGUGUGCUUUUAAUAAAUAAACACAACAAUCUUGAACUUUGAAGUUAGGAAAUUAGGAAAACCCACGCAACACCCGACCUAUAAACUCUGAAAUUUGGGGACCACUUGAGGGAUGAAGAUAACCACAUAAUUGGAUGGUCUAAGGGUCACCAAGGAAGACCCGAUGCUUGGGAGAGGUUGAGUUCAAGUUUACCUUAAGGUAGUACCUAGGGUCCCUUAAGGAAGUACCUCAAGGCCACUAAGGUAGUACCUAAGGGCCCUUAAGGUAGUACCUAAGCUACAGUCCCAAGAAACCAUUGGUGGACCACUUGGAGAAUGAAGAGAACCACAUAAUUGGAUGGUCUAAGAGUCACCAAGGAAGACUCGAGGCUUUGGAGAGGUUGAGUUGAAGUUUAACUUAAGGUAGUACCUAGGGUCCCUUAAGGUAGUACCUUAAGGCCACUAAGGUAGUACGUAAGGGCCCUUAAGGUAGUACCUAAGCUAUAGUCCCAAGAAACCAUUGGUGGAGCACUUGAGGGAUGAAGAGAACCACAUAAUUGAAUGGUCUAAGGGUCACCAAGGAAGACCCGAUGCUUGUGAGAGGUUGAGUUCAAGUUUAACUUAAGGUAGUACCUAGGGUCCCUUAAGGUAGUACCUCAAGGCUACUAAGGUAGUACCUAAGGGCUCUUAAGGUAGUACCUAAGCUACAGUCCCGAGAAACCAUUGGUGGAUCAUUUCAACACUGAAGAGAACCACAUGAUGGGAUGGUGUAAGGGUCACAAAGGAAGACCCGAGGCUUAGGAGAGGUUACCUUAAGGUAGUACCUAGGGUCCCUUAUGGUUGAGCAUCUUAGAAUCUCUCUUUGUUAGUUUUUCCCAAUUUAUAAUUGCAGUACAACUCAAGAAGGGGGGAGAAAAG